This 468-nucleotide ribosomal RNA is filed under the name uncultured bacterium. Its description in RNAcentral is "partial 16S ribosomal RNA". It matches the Rfam family "Bacterial small subunit ribosomal RNA", at positions 28 to 523 of the family's 1533-position model. The record is from RNAcentral.
GAUGAACGCUGGCGGCGUGCCUAACACAUGCAAGUCGAGCGAUUCUCUUCGGAGAAGAGCGGCGGACGGGUGAGUAAUGCGUGGGUAACCUGCCCUGUACACACGGAUAACAUACCGAAAGGUAUGCUAACACGAGAUAAUAUACUUUUAUCGCAUGGUAGAAGUAUCAAAGCUCCGGCGGUACAGGAUGGAACCGCGUCUGAUUAGCUAGUUGGUAAGGUAACGGCUUACCAAGGCGACGAUCAGUAGCCGACCUGAGAGGGUGAUCGGCCACAUUGGAACUGAGACACGGUCCAAACUCCUACGGGAGGCAGCAGUGGGGAAUAUUGCACAAUGGGCGAAAGCCUGAUGCAGCAACGCCGCGUGAGCGAUGAAGGCCUUCGGGUCGUAAAGCUCUGUCCUCAAGGAAGAUAAUGACGGUACUUGAGGAGGAAGCCCCGGCUAACUACGUGCCAGCCGCCGCAGUAA